This 1214-nucleotide ribosomal RNA is filed under the name Paenarthrobacter sp. RNAcentral describes it as "bacterial SSU rRNA". It matches the Rfam family "Bacterial small subunit ribosomal RNA", at positions 49 to 1285 of the family's 1533-position model. The record is from RNAcentral. Lineage: Bacteria; Bacillati; Actinomycetota; Actinomycetes; Micrococcales; Micrococcaceae.
UUACCAUGCAAGUCGAACGAUGAUCCCAGCUUGCUGGGGGAUUAGUGGCGAACGGGUGAGUAACACGUGAGUAACCUGCCCUUGACUCUGGGAUAAGCCUGGGAAACUGGGUCUAAUACCGGAUAUGACCAUCUGGCGCAUGUCAUGGUGGUGGAAAGCUUUUGUGGUUUUGGAUGGACUCGCGGCCUAUCAGCUUGUUGGUGGGGUAAUGGCCUACCAAGGCGACGACGGGUAGCCGGCCUGAGAGGGUGACCGGCCACACUGGGACUGAGACACGGCCCAGACUCCUACGGGAGGCAGCAGUGGGGAAUAUUGCACAAUGGGCGCAAGCCUGAUGCAGCGACGCCGCGUGAGGGAUGACGGCCUUCGGGUUGUAAACCUCUUUCAGUAGGGAAGAAGCGUAAGUGACGGUACCUGCAGAAGAAGCGCCGGCUAACUACGUGCCAGCAGCCGCGGUAAUACGUAGGGCGCAAGCGUUAUCCGGAAUUAUUGGGCGUAAAGAGCUCGUAGGCGGUUUGUCGCGUCUGCUGUGAAAGACCGGGGCUCAACUCCGGUUCUGCAGUGGGUACGGGCAGACUAGAGUGCAGUAGGGGAGACUGGAAUUCCUGGUGUAGCGGUGAAAUGCGCAGAUAUCAGGAGGAACACCGAUGGCGAAGGCAGGUCUCUGGGCUGUAACUGACGCUGAGGAGCGAAAGCAUGGGGAGCGAACAGGAUUAGAUACCCUGGUAGUCCAUGCCGUAAACGUUGGGCACUAGGUGUGGGGGACAUUCCACGUUUUCCGCGCCGUAGCUAACGCAUUAAGUGCCCCGCCUGGGGAGUACGGCCGCAAGGCUAAAACUCAAAGGAAUUGACGGGGGCCCGCACAAGCGGCGGAGCAUGCGGAUUAAUUCGAUGCAACGCGAAGAACCUUACCAAGGCUUGACAUGAACCGGAAAGACCUGGAAACAGGUGCCCCGCUUGCGGUCGGUUUACAGGUGGUGCAUGGUUGUCGUCAGCUCGUGUCGUGAGAUGUUGGGUUAAGUCCCGCAACGAGCGCAACCCUCGUUCUAUGUUGCCAGCGCGUGAUGGCGGGGACUCAUAGGAGACUGCCGGGGUCAACUCGGAAGAAGGUGGGGACGACGUCAAUCAUCAUGCCCCUUAUGUCUGGGCUUCCGCAUGCUACAUGGCCGGUACAAAGGUUGCGAUACUGUGAGGUGAGCUAAUCCAAAAGCCGG